CACACAGCACAACACUGUAACAGUUUGCUCUCGCUGCAACCUCUGUUUAUUUGCCUGUUCUGUUCAACUAAGGGCAAAGUACAUGACACAGGAGCUAUAUUGCUUGUUAAUAUCAACAUUUCAMAGCGGUUACUGGAGGAGAUGAGGACAUCCUUUAGUUUAUAGUAUUUUGUAGCUGCUACAAAACAGGGGUGAGUCUUUAAAAGUGAAAGUAAACUGCUUCCUUAAGGCAUUACAAAAGAGGGAGAGAAGUGUGACAGAGAGAAAAUGGCCUCCAGAUUGUCUCUCCCAGAAGAGGAUCUUUCCUGUCCUGUAUGCUUAAACACCUUCAGUGAUCCUGUCAUCUUAUUAUGUAGCCACAGCUUCUGUAAAGCCUGUCUGCAGUAGUGCUGUAGACAGAGACUAUUGCAGGAAUGUCCAGUUUGUAGGGAAGUAUUUUCAAUGGGUAAUCCUUCCUGUAACCGGGCUCUAAAGWACCUGUGUGAGGCUGUCUUAAAGGAAAUAAGUCAGAGAGCUUCAGGAGGGUCUGGGGUUCUCUGCAGUCUGCAUAGUGAGAAAUUCAAGCUCUUCUGUUUGGAGGAUAAAGAGCUCAUCUGUUUGGUGUGUCGUGAUUCAAGGAAGCAUAAAAAGCAUGCCUGCAUCCCCAUACAGAAAGCUGUACAGYAACAUAAGGUUGGAUAGAUUGUUUUUCCGGAUCCAAGCCCAGGAUACAGAGAGGCAGAUUAAGGGGCAGUUUAAAAAGCUGUACCUGUUUUUGCAAGAGGAAGAUAGACGGAUAGAUGCAUUGAGAAUGGAAGAGGUGCGGAAGAGUCAGGUGAUGAAACAAGAUAACAGAGAUGAGCAGAGAGAUAUCAUCACUUUCAUACACAAUCAAAGCCACCGAACAACAGCUGAGCAUUGAAGACAUCUCAUUCUUGCAGAACUACAAGGCCACAGAGACCAGAGCCAAGCAAACACUGCCAGAUCCAAAGAGGGUUUCAGGAGCGCUGAUAGACGUGGCCAAACACCUGGGAAACCUGCAGUUAAGAGUCAGGGAGAAGAUGAAAGGGAUGGUCCAAUACUGUAAAUACUGUAACGACCCUGGGUUUAUAAYCGCGGAAAUCGAUUGCGCAAUUGUUGAUAGAAUAACCAUCAUGUCGAGGUAAAUGUGCGGUCACGCGAUGCUAUGUUGUGUGGUCCUUCCAGUGCGACUUMGAAAAGCAUYRACAGUUUAGGCUACGGGAUGAUGAAAGUACACAGUGAUGACCUUGAUGCUGCUUUCCAAUAAAAAUGUAGGGUAUUAUUUGUAUGCUAGUGACAUAAUGAUCUUGCUUUCAUCCAUCUCAUCAUAUAGCCUAUAUGUCCAGUGUACGCUUUAUCAGCGAACUGUUGUCUAAAGAGCAUGUGCGAAAACCAGAUUGGGCAAGUUUGCCAUUUAUCGCGACAGUUUGUGGCAAAACUAUCGGUAGAGUGGAAAAUACAAUGGUAACACAUUAAACUCGUGUUUUUUAUUCAGUAUAUGACGUAAGCACAAAAGUGUUUUUGAUGUGCAGGUCAUAACGCACAGCCUUUGAACCGCAACAAAGUCAGGGGGCGUUCCUCUGCCCAGGUGUUGUUGAUGGAUGCCAAAUCUUACAACAGCUGGAUAGGUAUUGUAAGUAUCAGCUAACCAUAUCAUAUGUUAUAGCAAUCUGUAAGCCGAUAAAAUGGUCCAUGACGUAGUUCGCAACCAUAGGUUAAUGCAUGAAACAUCUGAACGCGGGACGCGACCUCGGUCUGGUGCAGAAUAUGUGAGAGGAGCGGAGCAAGGAGUGAUUUUGUAAUUUUUUAUAAUUAUAAUAUUCGCAUGAAAAUCUGUCGCAAAUUGYAUGGAAAAGUAAUGUUUUGCAGCAAAAAACAACAGUAGGUUUCGUCUGCGCCUUGUUCUUAGUCCAAGGACUGUAUCAGUCAAAUUCAUAUUAAAUCUAGUAGUGACCCCCAUACUGUUAAAUUGCAUUCUCUAUUGCAAAACAAUGCUCAUAUGAAUUUAGAUAUGAGUAUCAAUGAAACUUGUAGUGAAUUUACAGAGUAAAUGGUAAAGUUAAAUUAUCUCUCCUUAGCUCGUGUAAUCCUGGAUCCCAACACUGCAGACACAGGUCUCAUCCUGUCCGAGGAUUUGACGAGCARGAGACACUGUGAUAAAGCACUACAGCUCCCUGACAACCCAGAGAGGCUUCAUGGAUGUGUCCUAGGUUCUGGGGGUUAUAACUCAGGAACACACAGCUGGGACGUAGAGAAUUCUGAUGGUUCCUAUUGGGCUGUAGGUGUGGCCACAAAUAAUCCCAAAAGAUCUAGUUGGUCUAGAUCUAGCAGUAUGCCAUAUAAAUCCUAUUUGGACUACCUGUGUUAGUCACUUCCUGGAAUUUCAUCUUGAAGUGAAUCACUUUCCCCGAAUAAUGAGAGUGUAUCUGGACUAGGACAAGGGAAAGCUGUCUUUCUUUGACCUUGAUGAAAACACAGAUACACACAAUCACACACACUUUCACACAGACAGUCUUCCCUAUACUUCGUCAUGAUAACACUUUGAGGAUCUUUCCAGUGAAGACCACUGUGACAGUGGGAAAACCAGUGGCGACCCGUCCUUCACAGUGUUUUGAGCCCCACCUGUUAUUUUUGCAUUAA
Long non-coding RNA from Salvelinus sp. IW2-2015, 2640 nucleotides. RefSeq lists it as uncharacterized. Lineage: Eukaryota; Metazoa; Chordata; Actinopteri; Salmoniformes; Salmonidae. The record is from RefSeq and is a predicted model, not a curated record.